GAGUUUGUCGGUUGGUCGGGCUUCACUGUCCGCACUGGUCUGAUGGAUUCCUACCUUCUGAAUAACAGCAUGCUAUUAAGUUAGUGCGUUGGGGAAGCAGAGCUAUUACCUUGAAAAAAUUAGAGUGCUUAAAGCAGGCAUUUGCUUGAAUACGUUAGCAUGGAAUAAUAAAAUAGGACGGCAUGAUUCUAUUUUGUUGGUUUCUAGGAUCACCGUA
This 217-nucleotide ribosomal RNA is filed under the name Campeiostachys nutans. RNAcentral's name for it is "Elymus nutans partial small subunit ribosomal RNA". The stretch from base 89 to 217 matches the Rfam family "Eukaryotic small subunit ribosomal RNA", at positions 735 to 864 of the family's 1831-position model. The record is from RNAcentral. Lineage: Eukaryota; Viridiplantae; Streptophyta; Magnoliopsida; Poales; Poaceae.